AAUAAGUUUGUUAAUCAAUAUAAUAUCAUGGUUAGAGAAUGACUGGGAUAGCCUCCCCCAUCCUUGCCCCCGUGCCCGUAUGGGGAAGAGGCUAGCUCUUUGUGGCAGGGAAUCCCAUUAAUUGCCUAUGGAAAAUGAAGUGGUUUUAGAUUUGUGUCAGGACCUGACCCAAAACCAGUCCAAAUGCCUUUUGAAAAUAGAAAAUGCAGCAAACAGGAGGUUGGCGGGGAAGGGAAAAAUGUACAACCAGCUAUUGCCAAACGAAACAUUUUUUUGACCAAGAGUUUUGACAUGUUUGCGCCAACUCCUUUAUAAGUGAUGAGAGUUGUUUUAAAUAAUUGGCGAUAAAUCAGGGAUAUGAUAGGAAGAGGGCUAUGCUUACAACCUAAAGCCCAAAGUUCCACUGAAUGAACUUGAGUGUUUUGCACAUCGUCCCUCUUUGGUCCCAAGGUUUCUUUCUUUUAUUAAAAAAAAGGAGGUGGUUGUAUGGAUAUAAAUGAACAAAUAUGACCAAUUGCAUUUCUGACAAAUAUGUUUCGAUAACCAUAAUUCUAAUAAUAGCCUCA
This 566-nucleotide unclassified non-coding RNA is filed under the name Hevea brasiliensis (rubber tree). The record is from RNAcentral. Lineage: Eukaryota; Viridiplantae; Streptophyta; Magnoliopsida; Malpighiales; Euphorbiaceae.